RNAcentral lists this ribosomal RNA (423 nucleotides) under uncultured bacterium. RNAcentral's name for it is "bacterial SSU rRNA". It matches the Rfam family "Bacterial small subunit ribosomal RNA", at positions 207 to 622 of the family's 1533-position model. The record is from RNAcentral.
AAGACCUUGCGCUUUUGGAGCGGCCGAUGCCUGAUUAGCUUGUUGGUAAGGUAAAAGCUUACCAAGGCUUCGAUCAGUAGCUGGUCUGAGGGGACGGCCAGCCACACUGGGACUGAGACACGGCCCAGACUCCUACGGGAGGCAGCAGUGGGGAAUUUUGGACAAUGGGGGCAACCCUGAUCCAGCCAUGCCGCGUGAGUGAAGAAGGCCUUCGGGUUGUAAAGCUCUUUCAGCCGGAACGAAACGGUUACGGUUAAUACCCGUGAUUACUGACGGUACCGGAAGAAGAAGCACCGGCUAACUACGUGCCAGCAGCCGCGGUAAUACGUAGGGUGCGAGCGUUAAUCGGAAUUACUGGGCGUAAAGCGUGCGCAGGUGGUUUUGUAAGUCAGAUGUGAAAGCCCCGGGCUCAACCUGGGAACU